UAUCUCUGUAGAGUCUGCAUAUCAAUAAGCGGAGGAAAAGAAACUAACAAGGAUUCCCUUAGUAACGGCGAGUGAAGCGGGAAGAGCUCAAAUUUGAAAUCUUCAAGGUUCUACCUUGACGAAUUGUAGUUUAAAGAAGUGUUUUCUGUUAGAUGAGUAGCAAAAGUUCCUUGGAAUGGGACAUCAUAGAGGGUGAGAAUCCCGUAUUUGGUUAUUCAUUCUAGCUUUGUGAUACACUUUCAAAGAGUCGGAUUGUUUGGGAAUGCAGUCCAAAAUGGGUGGUAAAUUUCAUCUAAAGCUAAAUAUUGGCGAGAGACCGACAGCGAACAAGUACCGUGAGGGAAAGAUGAAAAGAACUUUGAAAAGAGAGUUAAACAGUACGUGAAAUUGUCAAAAGGGAAGCGUUUGACACCAGUGUUGUUUUUCCGAAAAUCAAUUACGAAUGGCUUGAUUUUGUGUUGUAUUGACCUUAUCAGCUUUCUUCACUUUUUUCGAGUCUUUCUUAAUGCACUUUUCGGUUAACAAGUCAACAUCAAUUUCUUUUGUUGUAAAAGAGUAUUCGGAAGGUGGCUUUCUUUUCGGAGAAAGUGUUUAUAGCCCUAUACUUCUACAAUCGGAGAGAUUGAGGUCUGCAGCGUAGAUCCUUCGGGGUUAGAUACAUUUGUGCUAAGUUGUAGCUUUUCAUAGACAACUUGUUGACUAUGUUUAGUCAUGCGGCUUACUCGCUUAUGCUAUUUUACCUACGCUUAGGAUGUUGACUGAUAUGUAGUCGUA
This 774-nucleotide ribosomal RNA is filed under the name uncultured Neocallimastigales. RNAcentral's name for it is "partial large subunit ribosomal RNA". It matches the Rfam family "Eukaryotic large subunit ribosomal RNA", at positions 24 to 644 of the family's 3401-position model. Lineage: Eukaryota; Fungi; Neocallimastigomycota; Neocallimastigomycetes; Neocallimastigales. The record is from RNAcentral.